This 301-nucleotide ribosomal RNA is filed under the name uncultured bacterium. RNAcentral's name for it is "partial 16S ribosomal RNA". It matches the Rfam family "Bacterial small subunit ribosomal RNA", at positions 509 to 807 of the family's 1533-position model. The record is from RNAcentral.
CAGCAGCCACGGUAAUACGUAGGGUGCAAGCGUUAAUCGGAAUUACUGGGCGUAAAGCGUGCGCAGGCGGUUAUAUAAGACAGAUGUGAAAUCCCCGGGCUCAACCUGGGAACUGCAUUUGUGACUGUAUAGCUAGAGUACGGCAGAGGGGGAUGGAAUUCCGCGUGUAGCAGUGAAAUGCGUAGAUAUGCGGAGGAACACCGAUGGCGAAGGCAAUCCCCUGGGCCUGUACUGACGCUCAUGCACGAAAGCGUGGGGAGCAAACAGGAUUAGAGACCCCUGUAGUCCCUGUCUCUUAUAC